UACGGGGGAUGCAAGCGUUAUCCGGAAUCAUUGGGCGUAAAGCGCCUGUAGGUUGUUUAAUAAGUCUGUUGUUAAAGACUAGGGCUCAACCCUAGAAAAGCAAUGGAAACUACUAGACUAGAGUAUGGCAGGGGUAGAGGGAAUUUCUAGUGUAGCGGUGAAAUGCGUAGAUAUUAGAAAGAACACCAGCGGCGAAAGCGCUCUACUGGACCAUUACUGACACUCAGAGGCGAAAGCUAGGGUAGCAAAAGGGAUUAGAUACCCCUGUAGUCCUAGCCGUAAACGAUGGAUACUACAUGUUGUGUUUAUAUACAGUAUGGUAGCUAACGCGUUAAGUAUCCCGCCUGGGGAGUACGCUCGCAAGGGUG
Molecule: ribosomal RNA, 368 nt
Filed under: uncultured phototrophic eukaryote
Lineage: Eukaryota
Description: SSU rRNA
Rfam family: Bacterial small subunit ribosomal RNA
Source: RNAcentral